UUUCCGUAGGUGAACCUGCGGAAGGAUCAUUCAUAAUAAAGUGUUUUAUGGCACUUUUUAAAAAUCCAUAUCCUCCUUGUGUGCAAUGUUAGAUCUCGUCAAUCUUGGCGAGAUUUUUAUACAUCAACUCAUUCUUUAACUAAUUUGUCUGAAAAAUAUUAUGAAUACUUAAGUCAAAAUACAACUUUCAACAACGGAUCUCUUGGCUCUC
This 211-nucleotide unclassified non-coding RNA is filed under the name plant metagenome. RNAcentral's name for it is "partial contains small subunit ribosomal RNA, internal transcribed spacer 1, and 5.8S ribosomal RNA". The record is from RNAcentral.